Molecule: ribosomal RNA, 2343 nt
Filed under: Escherichia coli
Lineage: Bacteria; Pseudomonadati; Pseudomonadota; Gammaproteobacteria; Enterobacterales; Enterobacteriaceae
Description: partial 23S ribosomal RNA
Rfam family: Bacterial large subunit ribosomal RNA
Source: RNAcentral
UUUUGUAUAAUGGGUCAGCGACUUAUAUUCUGUAGCAAGGUUAACCGAAUAGGGGAGCCGAAGGGAAACCGAGUCUUAACUGGGCGUUAAGUUGCAGGGUAUAGACCCGAAACCCGGUGAUCUAGCCAUGGGCAGGUUGAAGGUUGGGUAACACUAACUGGAGGACCGAACCGACUAAUGUUGAAAAAUUAGCGGAUGACUUGUGGCUGGGGGUGAAAGGCCAAUCAAACCGGGAGAUAGCUGGUUCUCCCCGAAAGCUAUUUAGGUAGCGCCUCGUGAAUUCAUCUCCGGGGGUAGAGCACUGUUUCGGCAAGGGGGUCAUCCCGACUUACCAACCCGAUGCAAACUGCGAAUACCGGAGAAUGUUAUCACGGGAGACACACGGCGGGUGCUAACGUCCGUCGUGAAGAGGGAAACAACCCAGACCGCCAGCUAAGGUCCCAAAGUCAUGGUUAAGUGGGAAACGAUGUGGGAAGGCCCAGACAGCCAGGAUGUUGGCUUAGAAGCAGCCAUCAUUUAAAGAAAGCGUAAUAGCUCACUGGUCGAGUCGGCCUGCGCGGAAGAUGUAACGGGGCUAAACCAUGCACCGAAGCUGCGGCAGCGACACUAUGUGUUGUUGGGUAGGGGAGCGUUCUGUAAGCCUGUGAAGGUGUACUGUGAGGUAUGCUGGAGGUAUCAGAAGUGCGAAUGCUGACAUAAGUAACGAUAAAGCGGGUGAAAAGCCCGCUCGCCGGAAGACCAAGGGUUCCUGUCCAACGUUAAUCGGGGCAGGGUGAGUCGACCCCUAAGGCGAGGCCGAAAGGCGUAGUCGAUGGGAAACAGGUUAAUAUUCCUGUACUUGGUGUUACUGCGAAGGGGGGACGGAGAAGGCUAUGUUGGCCGGGCGACGGUUGUCCCGGUUUAAGCGUGUAGGCUGGUUUUCCAGGCAAAUCCGGAAAAUCAAGGCUGAGGCGUGAUGACGAGGCACUACGGUGCUGAAGCAACAAAUGCCCUGCUUCCAGGAAAAGCCUCUAAGCAUCAGGUAACAUCAAAUCGUACCCCAAACCGACACAGGUGGUCAGGUAGAGAAUACCAAGGCGCUUGAGAGAACUCGGGUGAAGGAACUAGGCAAAAUGGUGCCGUAACUUCGGGAGAAGGCACGCUGAUAUGUAGGUGAAGUCCCUCGCGGAUGGAGCUGAAAUCAGUCGAAGAUACCAGCUGGCUGCAACUGUUUAUUAAAAACACAGCACUGUGCAAACACGAAAGUGGACGUAUACGGUGUGACGCCUGCCCGGUGCCGGAAGGUUAAUUGAUGGGGUCAGCGCAAGCGAAGCUCUUGAUCGAAGCCCCGGUAAACGGCGGCCGUAACUAUAACGGUCCUAAGGUAGCGAAAUUCCUUGUCGGGUAAGUUCCGACCUGCACGAAUGGCGUAAUGAUGGCCAGGCUGUCUCCACCCGAGACUCAGUGAAAUUGAACUCGCUGUGAAGAUGCAGUGUACCCGCGGCAAGACGGAAAGACCCCGUGAACCUUUACUAUAGCUUGACACUGAACAUUGAGCCUUGAUGUGUAGGAUAGGUGGGAGGCUUAGAAGUGUGGACGCCAGUCUGCAUGGAGCCGACCUUGAAAUACCACCCUUUAAUGUUUGAUGUUCUAACGUUGACCCGUGAUCCGGGUUGCGGACAGUGUCUGGUGGGUAGUUUGACUGGGGCGGUCUCCUCCUAAAGAGUAACGGAGGAGCACGAAGGUUGGCUAAUCCUGGUCGGACAUCAGGAGGUUAGUGCAAUGGCAUAAGCCAGCUUGACUGCGAGCGUGACGGCGCGAGCAGGUGCGAAAGCAGGUCAUAGUGAUCCGGUGGUUCUGAAUGGAAGGGCCAUCGCUCAACGGAUAAAAGGUACUCCGGGGAUAACAGGCUGAUACCGCCCAAGAGUUCAUAUCGACGGCGGUGUUUGGCACCUCGAUGUCGGCUCAUCACAUCCUGGGGCUGAAGUAGGUCCCAAGGGUAUGGCUGUUCGCCAUUUAAAGUGGUACGCGAGCUGGGUUUAGAACGUCGUGAGACAGUUCGGUCCCUAUCUGCCGUGGGCGCUGGAGAACUGAGGGGGGCUGCUCCUAGUACGAGAGGACCGGAGUGGACGCAUCACUGGUGUUCGGGUUGUCAUGCCAAUGGCACUGCCCGGUAGCUAAAUGCGGAAGAGAUAAGUGCUGAAAGCAUCUAAGCACGAAACUUGCCCCGAGAUGAGUUCUCCCUGACUCCUUGAGAGUCCUGAAGGAACGUUGAAGACGACGACGUUGAUAGGCCGGGUGUGUAAGCGCAGCGAUGCGUUGAGCUAACCGGUACUAAUGAACCGUGAGGCUUAACCUUACAAC